GCGGCUAUACGUCAGCUGGGAAAGCGUCAGACUGAGGUUCGACUUCGGUUCCAGUACAUCUGAAGGUCCUCUGUUCGAUCCACAGUGGUCGCA
RNAcentral lists this transfer RNA (93 nucleotides) under Exophiala dermatitidis. Its description in RNAcentral is "tRNA-Leu". Lineage: Eukaryota; Fungi; Ascomycota; Eurotiomycetes; Chaetothyriales; Herpotrichiellaceae. The record is from RNAcentral.